GAAGUAUGAUGCAGCCAAGGAUGACUUGCCUACUCUUUUGAUAUAUGUCAAUUCAGAAUCGGAAUUGUUCAUAGAAGGAAGUUGGCAAGUUGGCCUUGGCUACAUAUUACUUCCU
This 115-nucleotide microRNA precursor is filed under the name Zostera marina. Lineage: Eukaryota; Viridiplantae; Streptophyta; Magnoliopsida; Alismatales; Zosteraceae. The record is from RNAcentral.